CCGUGGCGGCGUGCUAUACAUGCAAGUCGAACGAACUCUGGUAUUGAUUGGUGCUUGCAUCAUGAUUUACAUUUGAGUGAGUGGCGAACUGGUGAGUAACACGUGGGAAACCUGCCCAGAAGCGGGGGAUAACACCUGGAAACAGAUGCUAAUACCGCAUAACAACUUGGACCGCAUGGUCCGAGCUUGAAAGAUGGCUUCGGCUAUCACUUUUGGAUGGUCCCGCGGCGUAUUAGCUAGAUGGUGGGGUAACGGCUCACCAUGGCAAUGAUACGUAGCCGACCUGAGAGGGUAAUCGGCCACAUUGGGACUGAGACACGGCCCAAACUCCUACGGGAGGCAGCAGUAGGGAAUCUUCCACAAUGGACGAAAGUCUGAUGGAGCAACGCCGCGUGAGUGAAGAAGGGUUUCGGCUCGUAAAACUCUGUUGUUAAAGAAGAACAUAUCUGAGAGUAACUGUUCAGGUAUUGACGGUAUUUAACCAGAAAGCCACGGCUAACUACGUGCCAGCAGCCGCGGUAAUACGUAGGUGGCAAGCGUUGUCCGGAUUUAUUGGGCGUAAAGCGAGCGCAGGCGGUUUUUUAAGUCUGAUGUGAAAGCCUUCGGCUCAACCGAAGAAGUGCAUCGGAAACUGGGAAACUUGAGUGCAGAAGAGGACAGUGGAACUCCAUGUGUAGCGGUGAAAUGCGUAGAUAUAUGGAAGAACACCAGUGGCGAAGGCGGCUGUCUGGUCUGUAACUGACGCUGAGGCUCGAAAGUAUGGGUAGCAAACAGGAUUAGAUACCCUGGUAGUCCAUACCGUAAACGAUGAAUGCUAAGUGUUGGAGGGUUUCCGCCCUUCAGUGCUGCAGCUAACGCAUUAAGCAUUCCGCCUGGGGAGUACGGCCGCAAGGCUGAAACUCAAAGGAAUUGACGGGGGCCCGCACAAGCGGUGGAGCAUGUGGUUUAAUUCGAAGCUACGCGAAGAACCUUACCAGGUCUUGACAUACUAUGCAAAUCUAAGAGAUUAGACGUUCCCUUCGGGGACAUGGAUACAGGUGGUGCAUGGUUGUCGUCAGCUCGUGUCGUGAGAUGUUGGGUUAAGUCCCGCAACGAGCGCAACCCUUAUUAUCAGUUGCCAGCAUUAAGUUGGGCACUCUGGUGAGACUGCCGGUGACAAACCGGAGGAAGGUGGGGAUGACGUCAAAUCAUCAUGCCCCUUAUGACCUGGGCUACACACGUGCUACAAUGGAUGGUACAACGAGUUGCGAACUCGCGAGAGUAAGCUAAUCUCUUAAAGCCAUUCUCAGUUCGGAUUGUAGGCUGCAACUCGCCUACAUGAAGUCGGAAUCGCUAGUAAUCGCGGAUCAGCAUGCCGCGGUGAAUACGUUCCCGGGCCUUGUACACACCGCCCGUCACACCAUGAGAGUUUGUAACACCCAAAGUCGGUGGGGUAACCUUUUAGGAACCAGCCGUUAAGGUGACAU
RNAcentral lists this ribosomal RNA (1466 nucleotides) under Lactiplantibacillus plantarum. Its description in RNAcentral is "bacterial SSU rRNA". It matches the Rfam family "Bacterial small subunit ribosomal RNA". The record is from RNAcentral. Lineage: Bacteria; Bacillati; Bacillota; Bacilli; Lactobacillales; Lactobacillaceae.